Non-coding RNA from Pelobates cultripes (western spadefoot toad), 851 nucleotides. The record is from the annotation of a GenBank genome assembly. NCBI's taxonomy places the organism in Eukaryota, Metazoa, Chordata, Amphibia, Anura, Pelobatidae.
AUACAUAAUAAAAUUGAUAACCUCUGCUUUAUGAAAAACACAUCACCACCAUAGAAACAUUACUUCUCAAAAUAACAAGAUUUUGUAACUAAUAAUUUACCAGACUUUUUUGCAUUCAGUUCAUAUAGAAUUUGGUUUCAACACACACCUACAAGCAUAUUAUUGUUUUUUUGUUUUUUUUUUACUAUUAGGGGAAAUUCUUCAAUUUCCCCUAAGAAAAAUGAAAAUUCAUAUUUACCGUAAUUUUCUUUUCCUGGAUCCAUGACAGCUAAUGGGUAGCUCCUCCCCUCUCAACUAACAGGACAGGAAAUAGAAAUAAAGGUUUUGAAAGAGCCCUCCCUCUCCUAGCCCUCAGUCUAGUAACAAGAGAAAAUGGGGGAGUAACUGAUGCUGCCAUGGAUCUAACCAGGAAAAGAAAAUUCUGACAAGUAUGAAUACAAAUGUUCUUAUUCCUGCAGUAUCCAUGGCAACAUCACUAAUGGGUAAUACUCAAGCUAACUUUCUCAUAAUACACAUGUGAAACACAUUUACAAAUUAUAAGUAACAGAAUUGAGAACCUCACAAUCAAACUGAGAGUCCUUAGCCACCCUAACAUCAAGACAAUAGUGUUUCCUAAAUGUGUUAACUGACGCUCAAGUUGCAUCCCUGUAAUUACUUUUUUGAAUGAAUUUUAUAAAGAAUUCCCAGAUAGAAGAGAGAGCAUUAAAGGGACACUACAGUCACCAGGACAACUACAGCUUAUUGAAUUUGUUCUGGUGAGUAGAAUCCUUACCUUCAGGCUUUUUGCUGUGAACACUGUCUUUUCAGAGAAAAUGCAGUGUUUACAUUACAGCCUAGUGAUAACUUCGCUG